This 376-nucleotide ribosomal RNA is filed under the name uncultured bacterium. Its description in RNAcentral is "bacterial SSU rRNA". It matches the Rfam family "Bacterial small subunit ribosomal RNA", at positions 521 to 896 of the family's 1533-position model. The record is from RNAcentral.
UAAAACGUAGGGGGCAAGCGUUGCCCGGAUUUACUGGGCGUAAAGCGGGUGUAGGCGGUCCUCUAAGUCAGAUGUGAAAUCCUACGGCUCAACCGUGGAACUGCAUCUGAUACUGGAGGACUUGAGGACGGUAGAGGUCGGUGGAAUCCCCGGUGUACCGGUGAAAUGGGCAGAUAUCGGGGGGAACACCAGUGGCGAAGGCGGCCGACUGGGCCGAUCCUGACGCUGAGACCCGAAAGCUAGGGUAGCGAACCGGAUUAGAUACCCGGGUAGUCCUAGCCGUAAACGGUGCGAACUAGGUGUGGGGACCUUUUUGGUUUCCGUGCCGAAGCUAACGCAUUAAGUUCGCCGCCUGGGGAGUACGGCCGCAAGGCUA